Molecule: ribosomal RNA, 498 nt
Filed under: uncultured bacterium
Lineage: Bacteria
Description: partial 16S ribosomal RNA
Rfam family: Bacterial small subunit ribosomal RNA
Source: RNAcentral
AUUGAACGCUGGCGGCAUGCCUUACACAUGCAAGUCGAACGGUAACAGGUCUUCGGAUGCUGACGAGUGGCGAACGGGUGAGUAAUACAUCGGAACGUGCCCGAUCGUGGGGGAUAACGAAGCGAAAGCUUUGCUAAUACCGCAUAAGAUCUAAGGAUGAAAGCAGGGGACCGCAAGGCCUUGCGCGAACGGAGCGGCCGAUGGCAGAUUAGGUAGUUGGUGGGAUAAAAGCUUACCAAGCCGACGAUCUGUAGCUGGUCUGAGAGGACGACCAGCCACACUGGGACUGAGACACGGCCCAGACUCCUACGGGAGGCAGCAGUGGGGAAUUUUGGACAAUGGGCGAAAGCCUGAUCCAGCCAUGCCGCGUGCAGGAUGAAGGCCUUCGGGUUGUAAACUGCUUUUGUACGGAACGAAAAGACUCUUUCUAAUAAAGAGGGUCCAUGACGGUACCGUAAGAAAUAGCACCGGCUAACUACGUGCCAGCAGCCGCGGUAA